GUACUCUCACACUCUCUGAUCUUAGGAUUGGGAGCGGUGGAUUUGGGUGUUGCUGCUUCACUGUGGCUCACCUAAAAUGCAUUAGUGCAACUCUUGACUGUACCAUAGUAUGGCAUGAUAAGUAUCUUUGCCAGCACCUCUCAGCAGGAUGGUCAAUCGAGAGCUCUGUGCCUCUAACUGUCCUAGGACAAUCUUUGACA
This 200-nucleotide unclassified non-coding RNA is filed under the name uncultured Sebacinales. Its description in RNAcentral is "sequence contains ITS2". The record is from RNAcentral. Lineage: Eukaryota; Fungi; Basidiomycota; Agaricomycetes; Sebacinales.